RNAcentral lists this non-coding RNA (29 nucleotides) under Rattus norvegicus (Norway rat). The record is from RNAcentral. Lineage: Eukaryota; Metazoa; Chordata; Mammalia; Rodentia; Muridae.
UGCCUGUGUGGUUAUCUGUUGAUAGGUCC